Molecule: small nuclear RNA, 115 nt
Organism: Erinaceus europaeus (western European hedgehog)
Lineage: Eukaryota; Metazoa; Chordata; Mammalia; Eulipotyphla; Erinaceidae
Source: Ensembl
GUGCUUACUUCAGCAGCACAUAUACUGGAAAAAAAAAAAAGGAAUGAUACAGAGAAGAUUAGCAUGGCCCCUGUGCAAGGAUGGCAGGCAAAUUCAUGAAGCGUUCCAUUAAAAA